Molecule: long non-coding RNA, 315 nt
Filed under: Notechis scutatus (mainland tiger snake)
Lineage: Eukaryota; Metazoa; Chordata; Lepidosauria; Squamata; Elapidae
Description: lncRNA (ENSNSUG00000017399.1)
Source: RNAcentral
GUCCUUGUUCGUUCAGAGGCAGGAAACGGCUAGCCAGGAACAGGAAGCCCUUCAGCUCUUCGUCUUGGAACGGCCCCACGGCGGGCCCCCGUGCGGACAACGCUCACAAGAAACGUUUCUCCAGCACCCCACAUACAGGCAAGGCCAGAGGGAAAGGUAAAGCAGAGGAGAUCUUGGAAAACUCAGAGAACCUCUACGACGAGCCCUCGGCGGAUCUCUCCGAGAUCGACGCCCGUCUGCAGGCGCUGCAGGAGUACAUGAAUAAGCUGGAAACGCAGACGUAGCCCGAGCGGGGGAGCUGAGCCUUGGCCCAGC